UGUCAUUAAUCAUUCUACUGUAAUAUUUGACACAAUCAUUUGUGGGACAAAUGAGUAUCUAAUAUAAAAGCUGCAAUAAUACUGACUUAUGUGGAACUGCAGCUAAUUAUAACAUACUUGAAUUUUCAUCUUUCAUUAAAGACCUCUGUAAAAUGAACAACCUUUCACACUGCUGAAAUGACUGAGACAGGAAAGCAGAGGAGGGGUGAGGGAAGAAACAUCCAAGGACAACAGGAGAAAUCUCACCACCGUAAUGAGCCAAUAUCAGUUGUUGAUGGAUUCUUUUUAAUUGUGGGCUUUUUCUCUUUCAGAUGUCUUCUCUACCAAGCUGUAGGACUCAGCCUAUUUAGGUUGGAAUGUUUUGGUUGCCUUGAUUCAUGAGCAACUGACUCUGCCAUCUUCAGAGGUUAAACAUCGCUUCAGUGUUCACAGGUGGACUAGAAGAGAUAAAGGAGACAGGAUGCCAUUGCAGGAAGAUAUGUCUCACCGAGCAAGAGGAUGAGAGUUCACUAAAUAUUUUCUGCAAAGCAGCCUCUCCUUCCUCUCUCCCCACCGCGUCUUCUCUGUGCCUUUACUUGUAGACCUCUAGAACCUCAAUCUUUUGAGUUCUGUCUUGAAGUGUCACGUUCAGUGUUUGUGUUCAGUUCCUUGGAGAAGCAUCAGGCAUUGCUCUGCCUUGAGAUCGUGCCAGUGCUCAAAGCCUUGGAUCCAUCUGUAGAGAGAAAAUGAGCAGCAUGAAUUCCCAGUUUGUGUAUUAGCUAAAAAGGUGGCUAGUCUCUGCUAUUUCUGUAUUUGGGAUCCUCAGUCUGAAUGUGGGCUCAUUACUCUCUUGAAUUAUAUAUCAGAAGUAAUUUCUUUUCCUGGGAAGUGAAUCCUACAUACAUGCAAAUCUAUUCCAAAAUGGAUUCCUCCUGUCUCUCAGAUGUUGCUUUUGCCUUGGGUAGCCUUCAGAAAAACAAAUUGUCUGAUUAAGUUCACCAGUGGUUUUGCCCCCCAUCUAGAAAUGAGAGGAGAUCAUAGAUUUAGCACAUUUUCUGCAUGCUGAGAUUCAUAUGCAGAGUGUUGAAGGAGUAGCUGCUUUCCUUAGCAGCCACUCUCUUGUGCAGCCCUUAAGCAUCCUGGAUUGAUGCAUUUUUCAUUUUCCAAUGCAAUUGAACCUUUCUGUGCUGGUGCUUCAGUAAAGCUGUAAUAUCUCCAAACCUAACAGAAGGGUUAUUUUGAAGUUUUCAAUUACAGGAGUAUUAAUGCCAGGCUUGUUUCCUUAACAGUCUGUUACAUGCUGUAGGCAAGGACUGUGCUGUUUGAGGUGAAUACAGCACAAACUGCUGUGCAGAUCUGCCCACUUCAGACAUGUCAGUGGAAGCCAGAUGAAUGACACUGUUUCAGGCAUGGAUCAGAGCAGUGGGAAAAUGGCUAGCAAGAGUUAAGGGUUUAUUGGUAUAAUGAAGGGUAGAUUUUCUCCCUUCCCUGCCAAUCCCUUUUAAAGAAAUCUCUGAGCAGACACAAAGGCUUACUGUCCACCACCAUCUACUGUGUCACUUCUUUUCACAGAUUUCUGUGCUGUUUUUCUCACGUCUGCAGUUAUUCAAUUUAUCCCUGUUUGUAUGGUAUGACCCCACUUGCAAUGCAUCUGUUCUUAGUUAUUCUCCAUCCUUUCACUCUUCUAAACUUCACUGUAUUCCUCUAGAAAUCACCUUUUUGUUUUUAAGCUCCUGUCUGCCUCUCAAUGUUUCUGCAUUUUUUGUUACCAUCUUUCUAUGGAGCAUCUUUGUUCUCACUGUAUAUCUUAAGCCCAGUUUCUUCAGCAGUUUCCUUCAUCUCACUGCUGCUGGACUUCCUACAUCUUGUCCCCACUGUGUCAUUUUGAGUCAGAAAUGGAAGGCUGAGCUGCAAGGCUGCAAGAACCCUGGACUUCCACACAGAAGUGCUGUAGCCAAAUACAGAUGUCCAAUUCCAGACAAGGAAUUCAAGAGAAUGGUGGGAAUCUUCAAAGUUUGCUCACUUCUCCUGAACUUAUACCCCAGGCAGUGAAGUGAGCACUGAUGGCCUUGGCUCUUGAAGAGGAAUAUCCUGUGUUGCAGCCUCACUGCAGGACUUCAGCUCUAACACCCUGGUGUAUCUACACAGUUCAGGACUAGGAGCAGGUAGUGUCUGGUGAGCACCUGGUGUUGGCAGCAGGAUGAAGCCAUCAAGAUUAUCGUUCUUAUUGUUCAACAGCUGUAUUUUAAGAAAAAAAAAUAAAGAAGGACAUAUGUG
Long non-coding RNA from Camarhynchus parvulus, 2256 nucleotides. RefSeq lists it as uncharacterized. NCBI's taxonomy places the organism in Eukaryota, Metazoa, Chordata, Aves, Passeriformes, Thraupidae. The transcript is spliced from 4 exons. The record is from RefSeq and is a predicted model, not a curated record.